Molecule: ribosomal RNA, 667 nt
Filed under: uncultured bacterium
Lineage: Bacteria
Description: bacterial SSU rRNA
Rfam family: Bacterial small subunit ribosomal RNA
Source: RNAcentral
AGCACGGGUGCUUGCACCUGGUGGCGAGUGGCGAACGGGUGAGUAAUGCGUCGGAACGUACCGAGUAAUGGGGGAUAACGCAGCGAAAGUUGUGCUAAUACCGCAUACGCCCUGAGGGGGAAAGUGGGGGACCGCAAGGCCUCACGUUAUUCGAGCGGCCGACGUCUGAUUAGCUAGUUGGUGGGGUAAAGGCCUACCAAGGCGACGAUCAGUAGCGGGUCUGAGAGGAUGAUCCGCCACACUGGGACUGAGACACGGCCCAGACUCCUACGGGAGGCAGCAGUGGGGAAUUUUGGACAAUGGGGGCAACCCUGAUCCAGCCAUUCCGCGUGAGUGAAGAAGGCCUUCGGGUUGUAAAGCUCUUUCAGCUGGAACGAAACGGUACGCGCUAACAUCGUGUGCUAAUGACGGUACCGGCAGAAGAAGCACCGGCUAACUACGUGCCAGCAGCCGCGGUAAUACGUAGGGUGCGAGCGUUAAUCGGAAUUACUGGGCGUAAAGCGUGCGCAGGCGGAUUGUUAAGCAAGACGUGAAAUCCCCGGGCUUAACCUGGGAAUGGCGUUUUGAACUGGCAGUCUAGAGUGCGUCAGAGGGGGGUGGAAUUCCACGUGUAGCAGUGAAAUGCGUAGAGAUGUGGAGGAACACCGAUGGUGAAGGCAGCCCCCUG